This 761-nucleotide ribosomal RNA is filed under the name uncultured Inocybe. Its description in RNAcentral is "partial 28S ribosomal RNA". It matches the Rfam family "Eukaryotic large subunit ribosomal RNA", at positions 216 to 962 of the family's 3401-position model. Lineage: Eukaryota; Fungi; Basidiomycota; Agaricomycetes; Agaricales; Cortinariaceae. The record is from RNAcentral.
GAAUCCCGUCUUUGACAUGGACUGCCAGAGCUCAACAGGUGCGCUCUCAAAGAGUCGAGUUGUUUGGGAAUGCAGCUCAAAAUGGGUGGUAAAUGCCAUCUAAAGCUAAAUAUUGGCGAGAGACCGAUAGCGAACAAGUACCGUGAGGGAAAGAUGAAAAGAACUUUGGAAAGAGAGUUAAACAGUACGUGAAAUUGCUGAAAGGGAAACGCUUGAAGUCAGUCGCGUCGGCUAGAAAUCAACCUUGCUUUUGCUUGGUGUACUUUCUUGUUGAUGGGUCAGCAUCAAUUUUGACCGUUGGAUAAAGUCGUUGGGAAUGUGGCAUCUUAGGAUGUGUUAUAGCCCAUCGUCGCAUACAGCGGUUGGGAUUGAGGAACUCAGCACGCCCUUCUGGGGACGGGUUUCGACCACGUUUCGUGCUUAGGAUGCUGGCAUAAUGGCUUUAAUCGACCCGUCUUGAAACACGGACCAAGGAGUCUAACAUGCCUGCGAGUGUUUGGGUGGAAAACCCAUGCGCGCAAUGAAAGUGAAAGUUGAGAUCCCCUCAAGGGGAGCAUCGACGCCCGGACCAGACCUUCUGUGACGGAUCCGCGGUAGAGCAUGUAUGUUGGGACCCGAAAGAUGGUGAACUAUGCCUGAAUAGGGUGAAGCCAGAGGAAACUCUGGUGGAGGCUCGUAGCGAUUCUGACGUGCAAAUCGAUCGUCAAAUUUGGGUAUAGGGGCGAAAGACUAAUCGAACCAUCUAGUAGCUGGUUCCUGCC